GACGAACCGAGCGAACGUUGUUCGGAAUCACUGGGCUUAAAGGGCGCGUAGGCGGGCUGUCAAGUCUGGGGUGAAAUGCCACGGCUCAACCGUGGAACUGCCUCAGAUACUGACGGCCUCGAGGGAGGUAGGGGCGAGCGGAACGGGUGGUGGAGCGGUGAAAUGCGUUGAUAUCACUCGGAACUCCGGUGGCGAAGGCGGCUCGCUGGAUCUCUUCUGACGCUGAGGCGCGAAAGCUAGGGGAGCAAACGGG
Molecule: ribosomal RNA, 253 nt
Filed under: uncultured bacterium
Lineage: Bacteria
Description: partial 16S ribosomal RNA
Rfam family: Bacterial small subunit ribosomal RNA
Source: RNAcentral